Long non-coding RNA from Carcharodon carcharias (great white shark), 1049 nucleotides. RefSeq lists it as uncharacterized. The transcript has 3 exons. The record is from RefSeq and is a predicted model, not a curated record. Lineage: Eukaryota; Metazoa; Chordata; Chondrichthyes; Lamniformes; Lamnidae.
ACGGACAUCAGUAAAUUGGCUUAUUCUGGCGAAUGGGCUGCAAGUGACUCAUCCCAUCCCACCACGCCUGUUUCCCAUCACAAGCGAAGAGGAGGAUGAGGUGCUAAUUCAUGCGAUGGAAGUUUGUGACCACCAAUGUUUUAUGACCAGGUCAACCUCAUAUUGGAUUAAUAAAUACACACAGGCAUAUUCUUUACCAGGGCCGGAGGAAACAUUUUCUGUUAUACCAAGAAGCAAUGAGCCAGAUCACAUGGAGGAAAGGGUAAAGAAGGCUGUUGGGUAUAUAUUUCAUUGCAGUGGCAAUCGGCGUAUUGCAAAUGAUGUGGGAACGAGAGUCCGCACCACCUGAGGACCAUACUCUGCUGGGAAGCGUGUGGGAUCAGCAUAAGUUGUACCACCUACAAGACGCACUGCAGCAACUUACCAAGACUUCUCCGACAGCACCUUCCAAACCCGUGAACUCUACCACCUAGAAGGGCAAGGGCAGCUGACAUAUGGGAACACCUCCACCUGGGAGCUCCCCUCCAAGACACACACCAUUGUAUUCCAUUACAUGAAUUUAUAUUUGUGGGGAAGAGAUGAGACUUGGAACUAUAUCACCACGUUAUAAGAGCAUAAUAAUUUUCAUAAUAUUAUUCUGGUUUAUUGUAAAGUAGGUUUAUGGGUGUGAGUGUAGAUGGUUCUGUCAGUGUGAUUUAAUUACACUGGAGUCAGGUAGGCUGCAAGCUUGAAAUUAUCAAAAGAAGCUAGGUGUAGAAAUGUACUUGAAAUGCUAAUGGAUAUACAUGGAUUGGGUUUUAGCAUGUAAGGUGUGAAGGAAAUUGGCAUUUAUAGGUAAGGGAAGGAGUUGGUUGUAUUUUGAAGGGAUGUUAGAAUGUUUACAACUAGCCAGAUAACCAAGGCUGAGCAGUGGGUUUAUUUUACCAAAGGUUACUGACAAUAUUGGCAACAUGAAAGUUUCUAUAUUAUGGGAAAGGUACAUUUCCAAAGACAUAUGGAACAAUGGAAUUUACAGAUUAAAUAGAGAGAAACAUAUAUAAAGGGGAAUG